Molecule: ribosomal RNA, 450 nt
Filed under: uncultured bacterium
Lineage: Bacteria
Description: partial 16S ribosomal RNA
Rfam family: Bacterial small subunit ribosomal RNA
Source: RNAcentral
CCUACGGGUGGCUGCAGUCGAGAAUCUUCGGCAAUGGACGCAAGUCUGACCGAGCGACGCCGCGUGCGGGAUGAAGGCCUUCGGGUUGUAAACCGCUGUCAGUGGGGAGGAAGGCUUCGUGAAGAGCGAGGUUUGACCUAUCCGCAGAGGAAGUGAGGGCUAAGCUCGUGCCAGCAGCCGCGGUAAGACGAGCCUCACAAACGUUAUUCGGAAUUACUGGGCUUAAAGGGUGCGUCGGCGGGGUGGGUGGGAAAUCCCUCGGCUCAACCGAGGAAUUGCGCUCAAAACUACCGUGCUCGAGGGAGAUAGAGGAAUGCGGAACUUACGGUGGAGCGGUGAAAUGCGUUGAUAUCGUAGGGAACACCGGUGGCGAAAGCGGCAUUCUGGAUCUCUUCUGACGCUGAUGCACGAAAGCUAGGGUAGCAAACGGGAUUAGAUACCCCUGUAGUC